RNAcentral lists this ribosomal RNA (207 nucleotides) under uncultured bacterium. RNAcentral's name for it is "partial 16S ribosomal RNA". It matches the Rfam family "Bacterial small subunit ribosomal RNA", at positions 568 to 774 of the family's 1533-position model. The record is from RNAcentral.
CACGUAGGCGGACAUUUAAGUCAGGGGUGAAAUCCCAGAGCUCAACUCUGGAACUGCCUUUGGUACUGGGUGUCUUGAGUAUGGAAGAGGUGAGUGGAAUUCCGAGUGUAGAGGUGAAAUUCGUAGAUAUUCGGAGGAACACCAGUGGCGAAGGCGGCUCACUGGUCCAUUACUGACGCUGAGGUGCGAAAGCGUGGGGAGCAAACA